AAGUCGUCGGCCACGGCCACCACGCGCUCGUUGUGGGAACGGCACAGGGAGUUGAUGUCUGUCCCGUCCGAGCCAUCGGGCCACACGCCUGGGACCGCGGGAGGUCAGGGCCGCCCCGCCUCGGCACAGCCCUCCGCCGCCCGGCCCGGCCGCACUCACCGUACACGUGGAAACCCAGCACGCAGGUCCAUAACUUCCGCCUGUGUGCACGGGUCCAGCUCCACCUAACAAACCAGUCGGCCACCACCUGUGCAUCUGACGGCCCCUCAGUCUGGUGUUCCCCGAGUAUCUCCCGGUCCCUGGGCCAGGAGCCCCCCAAAUAAAGCCCACCCCAGCCGCUCACAGUAAAGAAUCUCGUAGUCCCCCGGAGUUGGACAUGAUGAAGUUGCCGUCCUUGGACCAGUCGAGCUCGGCACCCGGCCCCUCUGCGAUGGCCCGCACAGCUCCGAAGUGCUCCGGGAUCUGCAGGUGGGAACAGGUGUCCAGGGCCCACCGAGGACCGCUCCCCCUCCUGGGCCCCAGCUUGCCCUCACCUCUGUCUCCUGGAGGGCCACCAACCCCGGCCCCCACUGCACCAGCCGGCGGUCUCGGCCGCCACCACUCAGCAGCGUCCCAUCCCGCCGGAGACAUAGGGCAAAGAUGGAACCUUCAU
RNAcentral lists this long non-coding RNA (652 nucleotides) under Heterocephalus glaber (naked mole-rat). RNAcentral describes it as "lncRNA (ENSHGLG00000039064.1)". Lineage: Eukaryota; Metazoa; Chordata; Mammalia; Rodentia; Bathyergidae. The record is from RNAcentral.